Non-coding RNA from Elaeis guineensis (African oil palm), 1357 nucleotides. Lineage: Eukaryota; Viridiplantae; Streptophyta; Magnoliopsida; Arecales; Arecaceae. The record is from RefSeq and is a predicted model, not a curated record.
UUGAAAUUCACAGGUUCUCGAGUCGGCGAAAGAGAGCUCCCCCUUCGUCAAAAAGAAUUCUCGUCAAACUCCGACCGUCUCCAAACCUCUCCGAACACCCCCCGCCCCUUCCUCCUCCUCCUCCGCCCCCUUUCCUCCCAUCUCCCAUGGAUUACGAUUAUCGGAACCGGACGGGCGCCGCGUACCGUCCCGGCGUCGGCGGGGGCGCCGCCUCCUUGUACCCGAGAGUCGGUCAGCCCGGCCACCCGCCAGUCGCCCGAGCCCCUUAUCUCCAUCCAUCCUCCUCUGCUCUUCCCUCCGCAGGAUUGGGCAUUCGAGUUACAAUAAAACCAGAAUAUCAGAUAACACCUCCUCCUCAGCUAGCACCUCAAGUAGCAGAAGUUCCUAGGAGCACAUUUCAGUUUGACUUUGAGUUUGAAAAGAAAAUACUUGCUGAGGCAGAGAGAGAUAGCCAGAACUGGAGCAAAUUUGCAGUGGAAAGCCAGUCAUCAAAAACUGCACCUUCAACUUCUUCUAUGGGUUCAACAGGGGAUCCAGUAGUGGACAAAUAUGUUGCCUCAGGGCUUGGACGUGAAGCUGUAUCACUUGCAGUUCUAAAUUAUGGAGAUAAUCCAACAAAGGAAUAUGGAACCAGAGGCACAUCAGACUGGAAUUUUAGUAGCAGGAAACUUCUACGAAGGGUGACGACCUUGCUCUGAAAGAAACUCAAACCAGAAUCUGCUUUCUUAGCACCUCGUUCAAAUGUUUCUAGAAUAUUGGCUUCCACGUGCCUGCACCUAGACCUGCUCCCGCAUCUAAUCCUGAAUCUCGACCAAGGAUUAGAUUGGCAGGGCUCACGAGGAAUCUGCAAACUUUAUCUGAUUGUUCUUUGAUCAGCAAAACCAACCUAUAUGGACGGAAGAUGGCACUUUGGUCUAGUCUAAGGCAGCAACCCAGGUUAGGGAGUUUGUGAAAGGCUAUAAUCUCCUCCGAGAGAUGGGUUUCUCUUCGAAGAAUGUGGCUGAAGCACUGGCGAUGUAUGAUAAUGACACUGACAAGGCUUUGGCUUAUUUUCUCAACAGUUCGUCGUGACUUUGUACAUAGAUAAUUUGUGCUUGGAAGUGUGGUACUGUCUCAUAUUAUAUGUCAGGGUUCACUCUCUGUUAUAGGUGAGACCUUAUAGCUUCGUGCAAUUUCAGUGUAGGAGGCACUUUAAUCAUGUCUCAUCAGUUAUCAUUUGUGACUGCCGUAGUUCCUGCCGUCGUGACACUUGUGAGGCAGUCAACUGUGUUAUGCAUAAAUCUGCAAAUGGUUCAAAUCCUAAUGUGCUCGUAACUGAGAUAAUAAUGAGUAUUGCACCAGCUAUUCUUGGGUUCUA